RNAcentral lists this transfer RNA (89 nucleotides) under Saccharothrix violaceirubra. RNAcentral's name for it is "tRNA-Asn". The record is from RNAcentral. Lineage: Bacteria; Bacillati; Actinomycetota; Actinomycetes; Pseudonocardiales; Pseudonocardiaceae.
GGAGGACUGGCCGAGCAGGCAAGGCACCGGAUGAUUAAUCCGUGGUCCGGGCGGACGUCCCGGCGCGCGUUCGAUCCGCGCGUCCUCCA